This is a long non-coding RNA of Callithrix jacchus (white-tufted-ear marmoset), 13321 nucleotides long. RefSeq lists it as uncharacterized. The record is from RefSeq and is a predicted model, not a curated record. NCBI's taxonomy places the organism in Eukaryota, Metazoa, Chordata, Mammalia, Primates, Cebidae.
GAUAUUUCAGUACAAAGGAGAUAAGAUAGAUUAUUUUUAAAAUGGUGCUGAUCCAACAUCCUAUUAAUCUGGAAAAAAAAGUAUUACUAUGUUGAGAUAAGUCCCAGAUUGAUGACAGAAAAGAAGUGCUUGAUUUUUUAAAAAGCACUCAUAUUUUAUUUUAACUCUAAGGCUAGCCCAUUUCCUAGUGGAGAAAUACUGAAGAUAUUCUUCCUAAACUAGACAAAGAUGCCCACAAUCACCACUACUUGUUAACAUUCUCGAAUUGAUUGCCUAUAUCUCCAAUAGAAAAGUAGAGGCAUAAAAGUUGGGGGAAAAAUAUAAUUCUAUAUUUUCAGAUGUCAUGAUUGCACACCUGAAAAAUCCAACAGAUACCAAAUGAAAAUGAUUAUAAGAAAAUUCAGCAAAGUAGCAAGAUAUAAAAUUAUUAAUAUACAGAAAUUAAGAGUCUUCAUAUCUGUAAAUAAUGACUUAUAAAUAAUGGGCAAGUAAAUCCCAUAUGAAUAACAACAAAUGACAAAGUAUUAAUAAUUAAGAAAUAUUCAGAACCUAGAGAAGAAAGUUUCUAAUAAAAAGGAUACAAAAGUUAACUUAGACAAAUGUAAAGACUGUGUUCUUUGACAGACAGACUCAUUAUCAUAAAGCAGUUGUAUUACAUUUACAAGUUGCUAAGGAACAAUAACAAAAAAUACAGAUUUUGUUUUCCUCGAACUAGACAAACCAAUUAUAAAAUUCCUGUGGGGAAAAAGUGAACAAAGAAUAGUCUGGUAAAUACUGAUAAAAAAAAAAAAAAGCAAUAAGAGUACUAUUCUUAUUAGGGGUUUAAACAUACUAUAAUGCAUCAAUAAUUAAGAGUGUAGGAUUGGCUUAUGAAAAGACAAACUAAUGAAACAGAGCAGAAAGUCCGGAGAAAGACUGGAAUGCGUAUGGGGAUUUAGUGUACAAUGAAGACUGCAUGCCAAAGCAAGGUUAAGAUGGACUUUUAAAGAAAUGAAGAGUGCUGGAAAAAUGGAGUGGCAAGUUGAAAGAAAAGAAAGCCAGAUCUGCACUCAUACAAUGUUAUGGGGAUACAGAAAUAAGCCCAAAUGGAGCAACAAUUUGAAUGUAAAAAUAUGAAAUGAUUAAAGUAUUAGAAAACGGCUGGGUGCAGUGGUUCAUGCCUGUAAUUCCAGCACUCUGGGAGGCCGAGGCAGGCAGAUCACGAGGUCAGGAGAUCAAGACCAUCCUGGCCAAGAUGGUGAAAUACUGUUUCUACUAAAAAUACAAAAAUUAACUGGGCAUGGUGGCACGUGCCUGUAAUCCCAGCUACUCAGGAGGCUGAGGCAGGAGAAUCACUUGAACUGGGGAGUUGGAGGUUGCAAUGAACUGAGAAUGCACCACUGCACUCCAGGCUGGUGAUAGAGUGAGACACCCUCUCAAAGAAAAAAAAUUAGAAAGCAACACAGAUGAUAUUAGAAUCAUGGGAAGACCUUUCUUCCUUAAUUAAAAAUAUUUUUAAAUUUUUUGCAGUGAUGGAGCCUUGUUCUGUUUCCCAGACUGGUCUCAAAUGCCUGGCUCAAGCAAUCCUCCCACCUCAGCCUCUCAAAGCACUGGAAUUAGAGGGAAGAGCCAUGGAGCCUAGCCAAGACCUUUCUUUCUUUCUUUUUAAAUUGAGACAUUGUCUCACUUUGGAGUGCAGUGAGGUAAUCCCAACUCACUGCAACCUCCACUUCCUGGAUUCAAGCAAUUCUUUUGCCUCAGGCACCCGCCACCAUGCCUGGCUUAUCUUUAUAUUUUUAGUAGAGACAGGGUUUCACCAUGUUGGACAGGCUGGUUUUGAACUCCUGGUCUCAAGUGAUCUGCCUGCCUGAGCCUCCCAAAGUCCUGGGAUUACAGGUGCCAGCCACUGUGCCUGGCCUGGCCAAGACCUUUUUAACUAUCAAUCAAAAUCUGGGUAGUUGCUUGGUUUGUUCAUUGCAGCACUAUUCACAAUAACAAAGACAUGGGAUCAACCCAAAUGACCAACAAUGAUAGACUGGAUAAAGAUAAUGUGGUACAUAUACACCAUGGAAUACUGCAGCCAUAGAAACCAAACUAGAUCAUGCCCUUUGUAGGAACAUGGACGGAGUUGGAACCCAUUAUCCUUAGCAAACUAACACAGGAGCAGAAAACCAAACACUGCAUGUUCUCACAAGUGGAAGCUGAACAAUGAAAACACAUGGAUACAGGGAGGAGAACACACACUGGUGCCUGUCAUGGAGGAUGGGGGAAGGGAGAGCAUCAGGAUAAAUAGCUAAUGCACGCAGGGCUUAAUACCUAGGUGAUGGGUUGAUAGGUGCAGCAAACCACCAUAGCACACGUUUACCUAUACAACAAACCUGCACUUCCUGCACAUGUAUCCUGGAACUUAAAAUUAAAAAAAAAAAUCAGAAUAGCAUAAUAGUCAAAUGUAAACACAUAUAAACCAAACAUUUAUGUAUGUCGAAAAUAUCCAAUUAGCAAAAUCAAAACAUAAAUGACAAAUAGAAAAGACAUUUGCAAUUCAUAGCCUAAACUGAGUGCUUAUAUGUAUUCUCACAUAUAAAAACAUCUAGAAUGAAAAGGCCAACUUUAUAGAUAAGUGAGCAAAGGAUAUGAAUGAAUAGUUCACAGAAAAAAAAUACAAAUAGCUACUAAAAAACGAGAUGAUGCUAAACUUCACCAAUAAAAGUGCUAAUUAAUAGUACACUGAGACAGAAUUCCUCAACUAUCCAUUGGCAAAAUCCAGAACUCCUAUAGCACAUUAUUGGAUAGGCUAUGGGGAAACAGACACUUUCAAACAUUGCUGGUAGGAGUAGAAAAAUGGAAUAAUGAAAACAACAACAAAAGCAGGAGAUCAUGGCGGAUGGAAAGCAGGACUAGAUUGCAGCUGUGGACAGAGCAGCUUGCAGAAGCUCGCAUUUGAAUUUCAGCUCCAGAUUGACUACAAAAACAAACCAGUAAUCCCAAGAGGACCCACAGACACUCUGAAGGAAGUGGACUGCUCCUGCAGGACCCACACUUUUGCAGUAUUACACCAAAAAUACUGUAAGUGCCCCAACUGCAGAACUGGGAAAGGGAGACUCUCCUCUCCCAAACACACAUCCCCACUGGAGAAGCUGAAGGUCUGUUUGUGGAAGAAAUUUCUGACUUUACCUGGAGCUGAGUGAUUUAGAGAGCCAAGUGAAAUACGGUGGUAGAGGAAGCAGCAGAAAGGCCCAGGGAGCUUGCUGCAUUCCCUAGCAGGCCAUUCCUGCCUGGCACCACAGGGAUCCAUCGUGAAGGUGACCAGAGGAGCAGGGGGUAAAACUCCACAGGGAGAAGGAAUUCUCUAGCUGAGCUUUGUAACAAUUUGAAUGGGGUGAGAAGCCUCCUGGCCAGAACUCAAAUCCUGUGUGCAGACUCCACAGGUGGGAAGAGUCAAGCCUUUUUCUUUUCCAGCUGAGAGGUGGGUAGCCCAGGGAAAGGUUUUAAGCCUCUCAUGCUCUCUGCCUGGAAACAGACUGGGGCCUGUCACGGGGUCAGGGGAGGCACAGUGGGAGUGAGACCUUCAGUUUGCGUGGGAGCUGGGUAAGGCCUGCGACUGUCAGCUUUCCCCACUUCCCUUAUAACCUGCAUGAUUCAACAAAGGCAGCCAUAAUCCUCCUAGGUACACAACUCCAGUGACCUGAGAAUCUCACCCCCCAGCCCCCACAGCAGGCACAGCCAGACCCACCUGAGGAGAGUCUAAGCUCAGACACACCUAGCCCUACCCCCACCUGAUGGUCCUUCCCUAUCCACCCUGGUAGCAGAAGACAAAAGGCAUAUAAUCUUGAGAAUUCUAGGGCCCCAACCACCACUGAUCCCUCUCUCUACUGCUAUAGCUGAUGCUUUCUGGAAAGCACCCCCUCCUGGAAAGAAGCCAAGCAGCACAAAAAUAGAGCAUUAAGCCACCAAAGCUAAGAACCCUCAUGGUUCAUUGCAACCUCUGCCACCUCCACCGGAACAGGUGCUGGUAUCCAUGGCUGAGAGACCCAUAGAUGGUUCACAUCAUGGGACUCUGAAGACAACCUUUAGUACCAGCCCAGAGCCGGGCAGAAUCUCUGGGUGGCUAGACUCAGAAGAGAGACAACAAUCACUGCAGCUCAGCUCACAGGAUGCCAUAUCCACAGAAAAACAGGGAGAGUACUACAUCAAGGGAACAACCUGUGGGACAAAAGAAUCUGAACAACAGCCUUCAACCCUAGACCUUUCCUCUGACAGAGCCUACCCAAAUGAGAAGGAACCAGAAAACCAACCCUAGUAAUAGGACAAAACAAGGUUCUUCAAUACCCCCUAGAAAUCACACUAGUUUACCAGCAAUGGACCCAAACAAAUAAGAAAACCCUGAUUUACCUGAAAAAGAAUUCAGGAGGUUAGUUAAGCUAAUCAGGGAGGGACCAGAGAAGGGCAAAGCCCAAUGCAAGGCAAUCCAAAAACUGAUACAAGAAGUGAAAAGAGAAAUAUUCCAAGAAAUAGAUAGCUUAAAGAAAAUACAAUAAAAAAUUCUGGAAACUUUGGCCACACAUUUAGAAAAAGUAAUGGAGUGGAAGAAAGCAUUUCAUGCAAAUGGACACCAAACGUAAGCAGAGGUAGCUAUUCUUAUAUCAGACAAAACAAAUUUUAAAGCAACAGCAGUUAAAAGAGACAAAGAGGGACAUUCUAUAAUGGUAAAAGGCCUUGUUCAACAGGAAAAUUUCACAGUCCUAAACAUAUAUGCAACUAACACUGGUGCUCACAAAUUUAUGAAACAAUUACUAAUAGACCUAAGAAAUGAGACAGAUGGCAACACAGUAAUAGUGGGGUAUUUCAAUACUCCACCGACAGCACUAGAUCAGCCAUCAAGACAGAAAGUCAACAAAGAAGCAAUAGAUUUAAAAUAUACCUUGGAACAAAUGAACUUUACAGAUAUAUACAGAACAUUUCAUCCAACAACCACAGAAUACACAUUCUAUUCAACAGUGCAUAGAACCUGCUCCAAGAUAGACCAUAUGAUAGGUCAUAAAACAAACUUCAAUAAAUUUAAGAAAACUGAAAUUAUAUCCAGCACUCUCUCAGGCCACAGUGAAAGAAAACUGGAAAUCAACUCCAAAAGGAACCUUCAAAACGAUGCAAAUACCUGGGAAUUAAAUAACUUGCUCCUUAGUGAACAGUGGGUCAAAACCAAAGAUGGAAAUCUAAAAAUUAUUUGAACUGAAUGAUAAUAAUUACUCAACCUAUCAAGACCUUAGGAUACAUCAAAGGUGAUGCUAAGAGGAAAGCUCAUAGCCCUAACCACCUACAUCAAAAACACUGAAAGAGCACAAACUGACAUUCUAAGGUCACACCUCAAGGAACUAGAGAAACAAGAACAAACCAAACCCAAACCCAGCAGAAGAAAGGAAAUUGGAAAUUACCAAGUUGAGAGAAGAACUAAAUGAAAUUGAAACAAACAAACAAAAAAAUGAAAGUUAAAACUGGUUCUUUGAAAAGAUAAAUAAUGAGUGCAGUGACUCAUGCCUGUAAUCCCAGCACUUUGGGGGGUUGAGGCAUGUGGAUCACCUGAGGUUGGGAGUUCAAGACCAGCCUGACCAACAUGGUGAAACCCCAUCUCUACUAAAAAUGCAGUUAGCCCUGCAUGGUGGCGCAUGCCUGUAAUCCUAGCUACUCAGGAGGCCAAGACAGAAGAAUUGCUCGAACCCAGAAGGCGGAGGUUGCAGUGAGCCAACAUUGCACCAUUGCACUCCAGCUUGGGCAACAAGAGUGAAACUCUGUGUCUAGAAAAGAAAAAAAAAGAUAAGGCCAGACAUGGUGGCUUAUGCCUGUAAUCCCAGCACUUUGGGAGGCUGAGGCAGGUGGAUCAUGAGGUCAAGAGAUUGAGACCAUCCUGGCAAAAAAGGUGAAACCCUGUCUAUACUAAAAUACAAAAAUCAGCUUGGGGUGGUGGCAUGCGUCUGUAGUCCCAGCUACUUGGGAGGCUGAGGCAGAAGAAUUGCUUGAACCUGGAGGCAGAGGUUGCAGUGAGCCAAGAUUGCACCACUGCACUCAAGCCUGGCACCUGGCAAAAAAGCAAGACUCUGUCUCAAAAAAAUAUGAUAAGAUAAAAUUGAUAGAUCAUUAGCAAGAUUAACCAAGAAAAGAAGAGAGAAAAUCCAAAUGACCUCACUAAGAAACAAAACAGGAGAUAUUACAACUGACACUACUGAAAUACAAAAGAUCAUUUAAGGCUACUAUGAACACCUUUACACACAUAAAGUAGAAAACCAGAAGAGAUGGAUAAAUUCCUGGAAAAAUACAAUCCUCCUAGUUUAAAUGAGGAAGAAUUAGAUACCCUGAAUAGACCAAUAGCAAGCAGCAAGAUUGGAGUGGUAAUUAAGAAAUUACCAACAAAAAAGGUCCAGGACCAGAUGGAUUCACAGCAGAAUUCUACCAGACAUUCAAAGAAGAAUCGGUACCAAUCCUUUUGACACUAUUCCACAAGAUAAAGAAAGAAAGAACCCUCCCUAAUUCAUUUUAUGAGGCCAACAUCACCCUAAUACCAAAACCAGGAAAGGACAUAACAAAAAAAGAAAACUACAGACUGAUAUCCUUGAUGAACAUUGAUGCUAAAAUCCUUAACAAAAUACUAGCUAACUGAAUCCAACAGCAUGUCAAAAAGAUAAUCCACCAUGAUCAAGUGGGUUUCAUACCAGGGAUGCAGGGUGGUUUAAUAUACGUGAGUCAAUAACUGUCAUUUACCACAUAAACAAAAUGGAAAACAAAAAUCAAAUGAUCAUCUUAAUAGAUGCAGAAAAAUAAUUUGACAAUAUCCAGCAUCACUUUAUAAUUAAAACUUUCAGCAAAAUCAGCAUACAAGGGACAUACCUUAAGGUAAUAAAAGCCAUCUAUGAGAGUCACAGCCAACAUAACAGUGAAUGGGGAAAGUUGAAAGCAUUCCCUCUGAGAACUGAAACAAGACAAGGAUGCCCACUCUCACCACUCCCUCAACAUAGUACUGGAAGUCCUAGCCAGAGCAAUCAGGCAAGAGAAAGAAAUAAAAGGCAUCCAAAUUGGUAAAGAGGAAAUCAAACUGGCACAGUUUGCUGAUAAUACGAUUGUUUAACUCAAAAAUCUUAAGGACUCCUCCAGAAAGCUCCUAGAACUAAUUUAAAAAUUCGGCAGUUACCAGAUACAAGAUUAAGGUACACAAAUCUGUAGCUCUUCUAUACACCUACAGUGACCAAGCAGAGAAUCAAAUCAAUAACUCAACCCCUUUUGCAAUAGUUCCAAAAAAAAGAUACCUAGGAAUAUACCUAACCAAGGAAUUGAAAGACCUCUACAAGGAAAACUACAAAACUCUGCUGAUAGAAAUCAUAGACAACACAAACAAAUGGAAACACAUCCCAUGCUCAUGGACGGGUAGAAUCAAUAUUGUGAAAAUGGCCAUACUGCCAAAAGCAAUAAACAAAUUUAACACAAUCCCCAUCAAAAUACCAUCAUCAUCCUUCACAUAAUUAGAUAAAAUAAUCCUACAAUUCAUGUGGAACCAAAAAGGAGCCCACAGAGCCAAAGCAAGACUAAACAAAAAGAACAAAUCUGGAGGCAUCAUACUACCUGAUUUCAAACUAUACUAAAAGGCCAUAGUCACCAAAACAGAAUGGUACUGGUAUAAAAAUGGGCACAUAGAUCAAUGGAACAGAAUAGAGAACCCAGAAAUAAACCCAAACACAUUCAACUAACUGAUCAUUGACAAAGCAAACAGAAACAUAAAGUGGGGAAAGGACACCCUUUUCAACAAAUGGUGCUGGGAUAUUUGGCAAGCCAUGUGUAGGAGAAUGAAACUGGAUCCUCAUCUCUCACCUUAUACAAAAAUCAACUCAAGAUGUAUUAAGGACUUAGACCUGAAACUAAAAAUUCUGGAAGACAACAUUCAUAAAACCCUUCCAGACAUUGGCUUAGACAAAGAUUUCAUGACCAAGAACCCAAAAGAAAAUGCAAUAAAAACAAAGAUAAAUAGCUGGGACCUAAUUAAACUAAUGAACUUUUACAUGGCAAAAGGAACAGCAAACAGACAACCCACGGAGUGGGAGAAAAUCUUCACAAUCUAUACAUCUGACAAAGGAUUAAUAUCCUGAAUCUACAGUAAACUCAAACAAAUCAUUAAGAAAAAAACAAACAGUCCCAUCAAUAAGUGGGCUAAGGACAUGAAUAGACAAUUCUCAAAAGAAGAUACACAAAUGGCCAACAAACAUAUGAAAAAAAUGCUCAACAUCACUAACAAUCAGGGAAAUGCAAAUCAAAACCACAAAGUGAUACCACCUUACUACUGCAAGAAUGACCAUAAUAAAAAAUAAAAAAAACAGUAGAUGUUGGCUUGGAUAUGGUAAACAGGAACACCGCUACACUGCUGGUGUGAAUGUAAACUAGUACAGCUUCUAUGGAAAAGAGUGUGGAGAUUCCUUAAGGAACUAAACGUAGAACUACUCACUACUGGGUAUCUACCCAGAGGAAAAUAAGUCAUUAUUUGAAAAAGAUACUUGCACACAUGUUUAUAGUGGCACAAUUCACAAUAGCAAAGUCAUGGAACCAACCCAAAUGCCUGUCAAUCAAUGAGUGAAUAAAGAAACUGUGGUGUGUGUGUGUGUGUGUGUGUGUGUGUGUGUAUGUGUGUGUGUAUAUAUAUAUAUAUAUGAUGGAAUACUAUGCAGCCAUAAAAAGGAAUAAAUUAACAGCAUUUGCAGUGACCUGGAUGAGAUUGGAGACUAUUAUUCUAAGUGAAGGAACUCAGGAAUGGAAAACCAAACAUCAUGUCUUCUUACUGAUAUGUGGGACCAAAGCUAUCAGGACACAAAGGCAUAAGAAUGACAAUGGACUUUGGGAACAUUAGAGGAAAACUGGGAGGGCAGUGAGGGAUAAAAGAAUACAAAUAUGGUGCUGUGUAUACUGCUCAAAUGAAGAGUACACCAAAAUCUCACAAAUCACCACUAAAGGACUUAUGUAACCAAAUACCACCUGUACCCCAAUAACUUAUGGAAAACUAAAAAAUAAAAUUAUAAUUAAAUAAAAACUUUUAAAAAAGAAAAAUGAAAUAGCCAUCAGGAAGGGGUUUCUAGAAAUAUCUACUAAAAUUUCAGAUGCAUUUACCUUUGAUUUAUUUAUAGGAUUCUCAUAGAUAUUACGAAUACGUUCUGAGAAAUGUAUUAUUAGGAGAUUUAGUCAUUGUGUGAAUUCACAGAGUGUACCUACACAAACCUAGAAGAAAGUUAGGUUAGCCUAUUGCUCCUAGGCUACAAACCUGUAACACAUGUUACUGUAAUGAAUACCAUAGGCAAUUGUAACACUAUCUAAGUAUUUGUGUAUCUAAACAUAGAAAAGUUACAGUAAAAAAUAUAGUAUUAUGAUCUUAUGUGAUGGCCAUAGUAUAUGCAGUCAAUCAUUGACCAAAACAUUUUAAUGCAGUUUUUUGCAUGACUGUAUAUUAGAUAAAUAGAUAGUAUCUGUGCUAAUAUGAUAGUUGUACAAACAAUUGUCAUUUUUUUGUUUAUAAAGCAAAACAUUAGAACACAAGUAUCCAGCAGUAGGGGACUGGUUGAAUAAAUCACAGUAUAUCUAUACAAUAGAAAACUAUGCAUCUGCAAAAAAGAAAAAGGAAUAAUUCUAUCUAGUACUGACUUGGAAACAUCUCCAGAAUAGGGUCUCACUCUGUCACACGAUCUCUGCUUACUGCAACCUCCACCUCCUGGGCUCAAGUGAUUCUCCCAUGUCAGCCUCCUGAGUAGCCAGGACUACAGAUGUGGGCUAUCACAUCCUGCUAACUUUAAAAUUAUUUUGUAGAGAUGAGGUCUCACUAUAUUGCUCAGGCUGGUCUUGAACUCCUGGGCUCAAGCAAUCCUCCCAUUUCGAAGUGCUGGGAUGGUUACAGGUAUAAGCCACUGUGCCCAGACUUUCCAGAAUAAUUUUUUUUUUUAAAUAGAGUUUCACUCUUGUUGCCCAGGCUGGAGUACAGUGGUGCGAUCUCAGCUCACUGCAACCUCCAACUCUCGGGUUCAAGUGAUUCUCCUGCCUCAGCCUCCCAAGUAGCUGGGAUUACAGGGGUGUGCCACCACGCCCAGCUAAUUUUUGUGUUUUUAGUAGAGAUGGGGUUUCACCAUGUUGGUCAGGCUGAUCUUGAACUCCUGACCUCAGGUGAUCUGUCUGCCUCGCCCUCCCAAAGUGCUGCGAUUACAGGCGUGAGCCACCAUGCCUAGCCCAGAAUAAAUUUUUAUGUUACAACAAGAGCAAAGAAUAAAAUAGUGUAUAUUCUAGACUAUUUUUAUGUAAGAAAGGAGAAAAAAAUAAUACAUUUAUAUUUGCGUAAAGAAAUACCAGGAGAAAUACAUGAAUACAUGAAUACAAACAUUAAACUAUAGCAACUAGAGAGAAAAAUAAUGGAAAAGCAAAAAUAGGAAUGAGACUUCUGUCUCUUCUUAAACUUAUUUUUAUAUUUGAAUCAAAGUAUUAAAGUGAAUAAAAAUAGAAUAUUUUCUUAGAACUUGGUGCCAAGUUUUAGAGCAAAGAUAUCUGAAUAAACUUCAGCAAAGUAACAUGGUUUGGAUUACUACAUAGGGAAAUUGCCAGCAGUUUACAGCUGAUUUGCCAACUUUUAUUAGGGUAUUUUAUUUUUUAGUGAAACUUGAAAACUCCAAAAAUCUUGAUGAAAUUCCUUACAUCAGACACUGAGAACACAGUAAGAAUAGACGUUCUUGCUCUCAAAGAGUUCAAAUCAGGGAGACAAAACCAUAAACAUUAUUGUAAGGCACAAGAACACCAAGAGCUAUACACAAGGUGUAAUGUGAUUAACUACUUUUUUUUGCCAAGGAAGGCUUCCUAGAGGAGAUGAGAGCCAAGCUAGAUCUACAGGAUGACUAGGAGCUUGAAGGUGAUCCUGGAAAACAGGAGACAUUUCAAGCACAGGGAACAGCAUGUGCCAUGGUGUUUAGGGAACUAUAAAGUUCAGUGUUGCCCCCCACAGGGUAAAGUGAGGCAGGAAUAAUACAGGGUGAUUCCGGAAGAUUAAAAAAACUCCAGGCAGCGUUUCACAUGACUAGAGGCUAUGGGCUGAUAAAACCCUGAAAAACAAAAUGUGGACCAAGCUGGCUAAGACUGACUGGACCCAACAUGGCACUGGAUUUGACCUACGUUUCACAAAUAGGACCUUACUAUACACGCAUUAUCAUACUAAAUCACCGCCCCCCACUCAGUACCAUGACAGUUCCAAGAACACCCAUAUUUAGUAUAAAAAUGGGUAGCAUUGCAGUUCCCAGAAAUAUCUACCUUUUUCCAGGAAUUUUCAUGAAUAUUCCACUCCUUGGUUAAAGAAAUCCAUAAAGGUAACAGCCCCAAACCUCCUUGUGAGUGACUCUUGAGUACACCGGAACUCCCUUUUAUUGAGGGUGUUUUUUCCCCUUUGCAAUUAAUCUCUGUAACCUUCACUAUUUUCUGACUUGUCCUUGAAUUAAUUCUUGCAAUGGUAUCAAGAGCCUGCACAGUGGCUGCAGUCAAGGUUUUACCGGCAUUUGGGGAUCCCCCCCAAGCCCACUGGUAUCAAAAGUACCACUUUGUUAGUCUCAAAGCAACCUUUCACAACUUGGCUUUCUUUUCAUCCUCAUUUCUUACCACUCUGGAGGCCUAAAAGUUUACUGGCAUAUAAGAUUUCACAGAUAGGGAAGCCUUUGGUCCAGAGAAGGUCCGAAGAGUGGCCCCUUGGAAUUGUGGAUGUCAAGGAUUUCUGAAGUGGGAGCACUGGCUGAGCUAAUUAAAGAGCGGUGGCAAGAGUUUGGGGUAGAGAGCAAAACUGUUACCCAAGUAUGUUAUACCUCAUAAAUAUUGGAAAGCAAGGCCCAUGUAAAUAUAACUUCAUUUACCAAGUAAGUAUUGUGUUCCAAGCACUGUCCUCAGAGAUCUUUCAAACAGAUAAAUGAUAUUAUACCUUUGCUUAAAAUUAUUGCUUCUCAUUACAUUUAAAUGGAAGUAAUGAAACUGUACCCCAGAGACUUAAACCAGUAACUAACAGAAAUUCUUGAGUUUGCAGGAUGGCAGAUGAGAAACAACUUGCUGAAACACCAAAAUUCCCUCCACUUGUAAGAUAAUGAAGCCAGCUGAUAUCAGUUGGAACCAAUAUGACCAAUUGGAGUCUGCACAGAAUGAGCCUGCUGACAUCACUGUGAAUUUCCACUGCAUGUUUCAUAUGAACUCACCCUUGAAUAUGCACAUGGGACCCAUGAGUUAGCAUGAAGAGCACUUCUCCUUGCUGCUACCAUAUGAAGAGGAAUGUGUUUGCUUCCCCUUCCACCAUGAUUGCUCAGAGGUGAAAGGGGUUUUCCUUAUUUCAGGUAAGACUUUGGACUUGCACUUUUGGGUUAAUGAUAGAAUGAGUUAAGAUUUGGGGGGACUGUUGGGAAGACAUGAUUGUGUUUUGAAUGUGAGUGACUACAUGAGAUUUUGGAGGAGCAAUGGGUAGAAUGAUAUGGUUUGGCUGUGUCUCCACCCAAAUGUCAUCUUGAAUUGUAGUUCCCAUAAUCUCCACAUGUUGUGGGAGGUAACUGAAUCAUGGAGAUGGUUACCCCCAUGCUGCUGUUUUAGUGACAGUGAGUGAGUUCUCAUGAGAUCUGACGGUUUUGUAAGUGCCUCUUUGGUUGGCACUACUCCUUGCUGCUCCAUGUGAAGAACGAUGUGUUUGCUUCCCCUUCUGCCAUGAUUGUAGGUGUCCUGAGGCCUCCUAGCUCUGCAGAAAUGCAAGUCAAUUAAACCUCUUUGAUUUGUAAAUUACCCAACCUCAGGUAGUUCUUCAGAUCAGUGUGAGAAUGGACUAAUAUAGCCCUCAUAUUCAGGUCACACAAAUUCUGCCCAAGCCUACAUCUCUGACGGCACUCUGUAACACCUCCCCCAUCAUAAUGGUACUUCUCUCUAGGAAGUACCAGGCUGCCUUAUGUCUAUAAUACCCUCUAUCCUUUGCUUCUUUGCCUGAAUCCUACUUAUCCUUCUAUUGUAAUUUUAAAUGUCAUCUCCUAACCAAGCCUUUCUUUCAACAAGCUCAACACCAUCUUAAUUUACUUCCAAUUAAACACUUGUUAUAUUUUCUUUCAUAUCAGAUUUUGUCAUUGUGCUUAUGUAUUUACUUUUUUAAAGAAACUUUAUUCUUCCCAGAAACUGCAAGCUUCAUGAGAGUAGGAAUUAUUUGUUUUGUUGAGUACUUUAAAAAGUGCCUGAUACAUAGUAAUACACAAAGGCUUGUGAAAAGAAUGGAUAAAUUUAAUCCUCAUAACAACUUUGCCAAAUGAUAUUCUUAUCCUUCUUUUCAGACAUGGAA